This 1318-nucleotide long non-coding RNA is filed under the name Zea mays. RNAcentral's name for it is "long non-coding RNA (ZMAY_LNC003462)". Lineage: Eukaryota; Viridiplantae; Streptophyta; Magnoliopsida; Poales; Poaceae. The record is from RNAcentral.
GGGUUCUGCUUCGUCCUCGCCGUGCUGACCGGGCCCUUCACCUACGGCUUCCUGCACCCGGGCCAGGGCCACUUCCAGCCCAGCAACAUCUACGCCUCCACCGCGCUCUUCGCGAUCGUGAUCACCAGCACCGCCUCACCCGUCCUCAUCCGCAUCGUCACCGAGCUCAAGCUCAGCGGUUCCGAGACCGGCCAGAUCGCCAUCGGCGCCGCCUUCGCCAACGACAUGGCUAGCCUCACCGCUCUGAGCGUCAUCGUCGUCACCCACACCCUGUAUGGCACGAUGCCCAAUGAGAAGGAGUCCUCGCCGCCGGCCAAGGUCGCGGUGGUGGCGUGGAUGGCGCUGACGGUGUGGAUGGCCGUUAACCUUGCGGCGUGGGUGGCUCGCAUGCUCAACCGGCUCAAGCGCGGGAGGCAGUACAUCAGCAAGUACGAGCUGUGCGGUAUGCUGCUCCUCAUCGUGGGCCUCUCGCUUCUAGAGCAGAUCAUGGGCUACAGCGCCUCCAUGACGGCCUUCCUCAUCGGGCUCGCCAUGCCACGCGAGGGCCCAACCGCGAGGACGCUAAUGGACCGCCUCGCCUACCCUGUGCACCAGCUCUUCAUGCCACUCUGCUUCGCGGCCAUCGGUGCUCGCCUCGACUUUGCCAAGAUCGGCAAGUUCACGGUGGUCCAGCUCGUCGUGGCCGUCACCUUCACUACGUUGCUGAGCACGGCGGGGAAGGUGGCCGGCACCUUGCUGGCGGGGCGGGCGCUGGGAAUCGCGACCCGAGAGGCCGUCGUGCUGGGUGCGCUGCUCAACGUCAAGGGCUACUCUGAUAUCCUCGCCAUCAACUUUGGGAACAAGAUCAACGUAUGGGGCGAGACCAUGCAGGUGGUGCUUCUCGUAUCAUCCAUCAUCAACACGUUCAUGGCCGGGCCGGCGUCCGCCGCCAUCGUCCGCCAGCAGCGUCGUGCCUACCACUAUCGCUCACGCUGCCUCGAGGACCUUAGCCUGGCCCACGAGCUUCGUAUGCUCGUAUGCACCCACGGUGCCACUAGCGUCUACUCGAUGCUCACGCUCAGUCACCUCUCCAGGGGCAGGGCACCAGUCGUCGCCGUGUACCUGUUGCACCUUGUCGAGCUCGCGACAUCGCGCAAGUACGCCAUCACGCAGCAGCUAUACCACGCCCGGGAUGGUGGCGAGGAUGAGGACGAGUGGGGCUACGCACGUGAGAUCGAGCAUGUGGCCUCCGCCGUGGCCACCUUCACCUAUGACAAUGCCAUCCUCGUGCGGCAGAUGACGGCCAUAUCCAGCUUGGGCUCUAUGGACACAGACGUGC